RNAcentral lists this long non-coding RNA (1306 nucleotides) under Lupinus angustifolius (narrow-leaved blue lupine). RNAcentral's name for it is "long non-coding RNA (LANG_LNC003534)". Lineage: Eukaryota; Viridiplantae; Streptophyta; Magnoliopsida; Fabales; Fabaceae. The record is from RNAcentral.
ACACUCAGUAAAAACGGAGAGAAAAGAUAAAAGCUCAUACAUAUACAUACUGCGGAAAUAGAAUGCUCAUACACUGAUAUCACACAAACAUAAGCAAUCAGAAGGAUACUUUUAAGCCACCUAUCAGAAUACAUUCAGGCAUACAUCUACAACACAAGCUGUUACAGAUCCCAAGUUCAACAUCCCAGUUCGUGCAUAGUACUUACAAACCACACGAAGACAACAAAGAGAGCAUAUUGAUAGCACAACACACACAAGAAAUCAGUGAGCAUAAAGGAAAGAAUUCGGUCGGUUCACAGUGGGGGAAGAGAAGAAAAACAUAGACUACACAACAAAAAACAACAACCAGAGGGCAGGCUAUCAUAUACAGUCAUAAAAAAGGAGAAAUCAGGAACAGAGAGAAUUCAGGAAGAAGCUACAACAUAGGAAGAAGAGCAUACACUCAGGUAAGCAUUUCACUCUACUUGUCUAAACAAUUAUAAACAAAUACAUCCCCACCCUGUUUGUAUAUUUAUCAAAACAUAUACAUACAUAUUGUGAAAUUAGAAUAAGCAUACGCACGUCACAACAUAAGAAAUAAAAAAUGCAUAACAGUUAAAGAACGCAUCAUAUGUGCUAACGCAUAUCACCAGAAUCUGAAAGACAUACACAUCCAUAUCAUACGUAUAUAGAGACAGAGCCUCUGUAAACAGAGAACCAACACUCAGAAGGUUACCCAAUCUUGGUGAGGUUGAUCGUGAGUACCUACACCUUAAUGUCAUCAUCACCGAGUGAACACCGCACACUCCUUGGCCUUAAUAAACCUCUGCGAGGAUAAGAAGUUAUGAAAAUUAUAAAAUCCAGAAUAGAAAAUCAAAAAGAGAAUUAAAAGGAGAUGAGUAAUAAAGAACUAAAGAGAUCGGGAGGGGUGAUUACCUUUUUUUUCAUAAGUCACCGAUGAUUCUCAAUCAUCGCUACCACCACUGAAAUCGAGAAGAGAAGGUAAAAAAUAGAAGGAGGGCGACCCGCAAUGCUUCAAACCGAGAUGAAUAGAGAGGAAGAGUGAAAAGGGGGAUUCAGGGAUUUCGUCUUUCUCAUUCUCUGAUGAUUUCGUGAGAAAAGGUGAGGAUGAGGACUUUCAUCUCUUGAUGCAUGUGAUGACAACCGUGAUCUCCCUUCUUGACCGAGAACAAAGCCACCGCCGGAGAUGGAGAAGAGGUGGAGAAGAGAGGGAAAAAUAGGAUUUAGGGAUUUAAUCCCUUGGUACCGUGAUGGAGCAGGGUAACAUUCCCUUUUUGUUUUUUAUGUCCCCAAUGCCAAAUUCUGU